This 100-nucleotide non-coding RNA is filed under the name Bacillus sp. (in: firmicutes). RNAcentral describes it as "Bacillus sp. TPP sequence". It matches the Rfam family "TPP riboswitch aptamer (THI element)". Rfam says of the family: Vitamin B(1) in its active form thiamin pyrophosphate (TPP) is an essential coenzyme that is synthesised by coupling of pyrimidine and thiazole moieties in bacteria. The previously detected thiamin-regulatory element, thi box was extended, resulting in a new, highly conserved RNA secondary structure, the THI element, which is widely distributed in eubacteria and also occurs in some archaea. Analysis of operon structures identified a large number of new candidate thiamin-regulated genes, mostly transporters, in various prokaryotic organisms. Lineage: Bacteria; Bacillati; Bacillota; Bacilli; Caryophanales; Bacillaceae. The record is from RNAcentral. RNAcentral also lists the same sequence under 1 other name.
AUUUGAUUGCGGGGGGACUCUUUUAGAGUUGAGAAGGUUAAAACCUGACCCUUAGAACCUGUUAGUUAAUACUGGCGUAGGGAGCAAUGGUCAUCAGGCG